RNAcentral lists this ribosomal RNA (433 nucleotides) under uncultured bacterium. RNAcentral describes it as "partial 16S ribosomal RNA". It matches the Rfam family "Bacterial small subunit ribosomal RNA", at positions 29 to 507 of the family's 1533-position model. The record is from RNAcentral.
AACGAACGCUGGCGGCAUGCCUAACACAUGCAAGUCGAACGAGACCUUCGGGUCUAGUGGCGCACGGGUGCGUAACGCGUGGGAACCUGCCCUUAGGUUCGGAAUAACUCCCCGACAGGGGUGCUAAUACCGGAUAAUGUCUUCGGACCAAAGAUUUAUCUCCUUUGGAUGGGCCCGCGUUGGAUUAGCUAGUUGGUAGGGUAAAAGCCUACCAAGGCGACGAUCCAUAGCUGGUCUGAGAGGAUGAUCAGCCACACUGGGACUGAGACACGGCCCAGACUCCUACGGGAGGCAGCAGUGGGGAAUAUUGGACAAUGGGCGAAAGGCUGAUCCAGCAAUGCCGCGUGAGUGAUGAAGGCCUUAGGGUUGUAAAGCUCUUUUACCCGGGAUGAUAAUGACAGUACCGGGAGAAUAAGCUCCGGCUAACUCCGUG